GUCAGGAUGGCCGAGUGGUCUAAGGCGCCAGACUCAAGGAGUCACUCCUGCCUCACAAAAGGGAAUUCUGGUCUCCAAAUGGAGGCGUGGGUUCAAAUCCCACUCCUGACA
Oreochromis niloticus (Nile tilapia) is the source of this 111-nucleotide non-coding RNA. Lineage: Eukaryota; Metazoa; Chordata; Actinopteri; Cichliformes; Cichlidae. The record is from Rfam.